RNAcentral lists this ribosomal RNA (440 nucleotides) under uncultured bacterium. Its description in RNAcentral is "partial 16S ribosomal RNA". It matches the Rfam family "Bacterial small subunit ribosomal RNA", at positions 338 to 795 of the family's 1533-position model. The record is from RNAcentral.
CCUACGGGCGGCAGCAGUGGGGGAUAUUGCACAAUGGGGGAAACCCUGAUGCAGCGACGCCGCGUGGGUGAAGAAGCGCCUCGGCGCGUAAAGCCCUGUCAGCAGGGAAGACAAUGACGGUACCUGAAGAAGAAGCCCCGGCUAACUACGUGCCAGCAGCCGCGGUAAUACGUAGGGGGCAAGCGUUAGCCGGAUUUACUGGGUGUAAAGGGGGCGCAGACGGCGAUGCAAGCCAGGAGUGAAAGCCCGGGGCCCAACCCCGGGACUGCCCUUGAAACUGCGUGGCUAGAGUGCAGGAGGGGCGGGCGGAAUUCCUGGUGUAGCGGUGAAAUGCGUAGAGAUCAGGAGGAACACCGAUGGCGAAGGCGGCCUGCUGGACUGCAACUGACGUUGAGGCCCGAAAGCGUGGGGAGCAAACAGGAUUAGAUACCCCAGUAGUC